CCUCUUCCUACCGAUACAAUUGUGGCUUCUGAAGAUUCAAAGCAAGAACCUCGUAAAAGCUUGCCAGAGUUGUUGGACUAUAUUUCAUGUAUGCUUCAUUUAGCUGUUUUUGGAAUUCUUGGGGUCUUAACAAGAUAUUUACUUCAAAAGUUAUUUGGUCAUGGGGUUGCCGGCGUGACAACUGACCAAACUAUUCUUUACCUUGACCUUCCUUCUAAUAUGAUUGGUUCAUUUUUAAUGGGAUGGUUUGGAGUUGUGUUCAAAUGAGACAUAUCUCGUGUAUCAGAGCAUCUAGCCAUAGCAAUUACAACUGGUUACUUAGGGAGCCUCACAACCUUCAGUGGUUGGAAUCAAAAAAUGCUUGAACUCAAGUGUUUCCGGUCGCUGGUUCUUCUCUGUACUUGGCUUUCUUUUAGGUAAAUAAGUGCAUUUAAUAAUGGUGUUUGAUAGUUACAGGUUUGUAGCUGUUUCAUUCUGAGAAUGUGUGUCAUAACUUUGAAGGUUGUGAUCAGUGUAUACCUAGUAUUUGAUGCACGUGAAUACCACAAAUUGUGAUACAGUUGUAACAGGAACUCAAUUUGGUCUUUUGGGCUGUCUGAGUACUGUCUCUACAUUUGCUGCAGAGUUUAAUGCAAUGAGAGAAAGCAUGCAUCCUUGGAGAGCA
Molecule: long non-coding RNA, 664 nt
Organism: Gastrolobium bilobum
Lineage: Eukaryota; Viridiplantae; Streptophyta; Magnoliopsida; Fabales; Fabaceae
Exons: 4
Source: RefSeq, a predicted model, not a curated record